Molecule: non-coding RNA, 4062 nt
Organism: Oncorhynchus mykiss (rainbow trout)
Lineage: Eukaryota; Metazoa; Chordata; Actinopteri; Salmoniformes; Salmonidae
Source: RefSeq, a predicted model, not a curated record
UAGCUUCCUGUCUCGAUCGCGUCCUGUCAGCCUGAUUGUAGCCAUACUAGCUUCGAAGUCCCUCGUUUUAUUAUUAUCUCAGUAUAUUAAUAUUAUCAUAUUUCUAGUGGUUUUUUUAUUUUUAUAAUUCUUGUUGAAAAUUAUGUUUAUCCGUUCAGUUAGUGAUUUUUGUAAUUCGAUUAUUGUGUGCUGUGUCUUUUUUAGUUUCUUCACUAGCUACCUAUUAACGUUCUAACUAGUAAGGUGGCUAGCAAUUAGCCAACGCCUCCCUCCCUUACCAAUCAUGGCACUGUUUUACUCAAGACGCUUGUAAGAGCUGCCAUUGACGGAUGUACAUCGUCUGGCCAAGACAAGUAGCAAAGCACCGAACUCCAAGUUAAAAACAAGGAUUCAAACUUUGUGUCCAGUUACCUUUUCAACUAUAAAGGGUCUGCAACCUGGGCCCAUAGGCAAAAUGACCAUCACCAAGCCCACCAAAAAGCGCAUGGCAGAAGGAGGGAUUACCUAUGUGACAGCCUCAGAAAUGAUACUCCUGUGUAAGGGUCUGCAGCGAAUCACAUCCAGCCGCCAGAGAGAAGCAAAUCUAACCACAGGACAUGUGACAGAGUUGAUGGACACCCUAUGUUCAUCAAUGGACAAAAAGUUCCAUAGAAUGGAAUAUAAUCACGUGCUAUCAGAAACCACUGCACUUGCCCCCAGGUUUAAGAAGUUAGCCUUCAGUGAUGCCAGAGCGAUUGAUGAGGCUCUUCAAAGAAUAACCUCAGCAGCAGGGAGGGACAGCCCCACCAGUCAGCUGGCCCAGGCACCAGGGCAACAGGAAGAAGAGGGAUCAGAUGGAGCAGAAGCACCAGCAGUAGUGCCACAAACUUCUGCUGUUUGGAUGCUGUUUGACGAGAGAGCAACUGGGGAUGCAGCAUGAAGGAAUCCCUCAGCAGAUGCCAUAAUGGAGGUCCGAUGCUAUUUGGAGGAGGCCCUCCUCCAAAGAUGGAAGAACAAGGCCUCGGUCUACCCACAGCUUACUAAAGUCAUGACAGGGAGACUGCAUAGUGGCCACAUCCGUUCCCUCUGAGAUGGUCUUCUCAAAAACUGGACAAAUAAUUACUGAGAGAAGAAACUGCAUCAGCCCCUCAAAAGUGAGGCAGCUUGCAUUUCUGAUUGCAAAUCUCUCAAAAGCAAAAUAUGGUCAGCAUUGCUGUGUGCUGCUGGUUAUAACAAGAACCGUUUGGGCGCCAAAAGACCCGGCUCUUUUUGGUGACCUGAGCAGAACGAGCCGGCUCACUGAAAAGAGCCGGAAUGCCCAUCACUACUGACAAGAUGCGAUCGGGACAGGAAGCUAUGUAUCGGGUAGGAAGGUGACCCAAGGGUUGGGAGUGCAAGGCAGAGAGCAGCCAAUGGUGCCAGAACGAGCCGGCUCACUGAAAAGAGCCGGAAUGCCCAUCACUACUGACAAGAUGCGAUCGGGACAGGAAGCUAUGUAUCGGGUAGGAAGGUGACCCAAGGGUUGGGAGUGCAAGGCAGAGAGCAGCCAAUGGUGCCAGAACGAGCCGGCUCACUGAAAAGAGCCGGAAUGCCCAUCACUACUGACAAGAUGCGAUCGGGACAGGAAGCUAUGUAUCGGGUAGGAAGGUGACCCAAGGGUUGGGAGUGCAAGGCAGAGAGCAGCCAAUGGUGCCAGAACGAGCCGGCUCACUGAAAAGAGCCGGAAUGCCCAUCACUACUGACAAGAUGCGAUCGGGACAGGAAGCUAUGUAUCGGGUAGGAAGGUGACCCAAGGGUUGGGAGUGCAAGGCAGAGAGCAGCCAAUGGUGCCAGAACGAGCCGGCUCACUGAAAAGAGCCGGAAUGCCCAUCACUACUGACAAGAUGCGAUCGGGACAGGAAGCUAUGUAUCGGGUAGGAAGGUGACCCAAGGGUUGGGAGUGCAAGGCAGAGAGCAGCCAAUGGUGCCAGAACGAGCCGGCUCACUGAAAAGAGCCGGAAUGCCCAUCACUACUGACAAGAUGCGAUCGGGACAGGAAGCUAUGUAUCGGGUAGGAAGGUGACCCAAGGGUUGGGAGUGCAAGGCAGAGAGCAGCCAAUGGUGCCAGAACGAGCCGGCUCACUGAAAAGAGCCGGAAUGCCCAUCACUACUGACAAGAUGCGAUCGGGACAGGAAGCUAUGUAUCGGGUAGGAAGGUGACCCAAGGGUUGGGAGUGCAAGGCAGAGAGCAGCCAAUGGUGCCAGAACGAGCCGGCUCACUGAAAAGAGCCGGAAUGCCCAUCACUACUGACAAGAUGCGAUCGGGACAGGAAGCUAUGUAUCGGGUAGGAAGGUGACCCAAGGGUUGGGAGUGCAAGGCAGAGAGCAGCCAAUGGUGCCAGAACGAGCCGGCUCACUGAAAAGAGCCGGAAUGCCCAUCACUACUGACAAGAUGCGAUCGGGACAGGAAGCUAUGUAUCGGGUAGGAAGGUGACCCAAGGGUUGGGAGUGCAAGGCAGAGAGCAGCCAAUGGUGCCAGAACGAGCCGGCUCACUGAAAAGAGCCGGAAUGCCCAUCACUACUGACAAGAUGCGAUCGGGACAGGAAGCUAUGUAUCGGGUAGGAAGGUGACCCAAGGGUUGGGAGUGCAAGGCAGAGAGCAGCCAAUGGUGCCAGAACGAGCCGGCUCACUGAAAAGAGCCGGAAUGCCCAUCACUACUGACAAGAUGCGAUCGGGACAGGAAGCUAUGUAUCGGGUAGGAAGGUGACCCAAGGGUUGGGAGUGCAAGGCAGAGAGCAGCCAAUGGUGCCAGAACGAGCCGGCUCACUGAAAAGAGCCGGAAUGCCCAUCACUACUGACAAGAUGCGAUCGGGACAGGAAGCUAUGUAUCGGGUAGGAAGGUGACCCAAGGGUUGGGAGUGCAAGGCAGAGAGCAGCCAAUGGUGCCAGAACGAGCCGGCUCACUGAAAAGAGCCGGAAUGCCCAUCACUACUGACAAGAUGCGAUCGGGACAGGAAGCUAUGUAUCGGGUAGGAAGGUGACCCAAGGGUUGGGAGUGCAAGGCAGAGAGCAGCCAAUGGUGCCAGAACGAGCCGGCUCACUGAAAAGAGCCGGAAUGCCCAUCACUACUGACAAGAUGCGAUCGGGACAGGAAGCUAUGUAUCGGGUAGGAAGAUGCUGUUGUGCUGAACUACCUUUCUGAGAUGUUUGGACUGCUGGACUCAGUGAGGAGGGUUCUGGACCUGAGACCCGGUGAGACUGAUGACAACCAGCAGCAGGUUCACAAUGCUCUUAAUGGAUGUUGUGCAUCCCUGGAAAUAAUCCGAAUAAUUUAAAUAUGACAGUUUUGCUGGUAAGGUAAGUUAAGCUGCCUAUUUCUGUACUGAAUUAAAUAUAACCACUACUGUUUUAAAACACUGUCUAUCUUUAUUUCCCAAACACAAAUCAGCACAAUCACACAAUCGAUUUUUUUUGUGUUUUAAUAAUAUAAAGCAUAUUUAACACUGGCUUAAAACCUGACUAGCACUUUGUACUUUUUUUUAAAACACUUAACUUAGACCAGGCUCUGUUUUCACCUCAUAUCCCAGCGAUAAUGCAAAGAAAACACUUACGUUUGCUCAACUUUCACCCCAAGGCAAACAUUUAGACUAUGUUAGCCCACACAGCUACAAGGAUGCACUUUCAUGCUAGGUUUAGGACCUCACAUUGAAGCUUAUAGAGCAAAUCAUUUUAGUGUCCCCCCUCUUGACAGGGUAGAUAUCAUUUCCUGCAAAUCUACACAUUUUUCCAUAGGGCGGAGAGAAAUGCUUGCAGUUUUUAAUAUGAUAUAAUUGUAUAUAAUUGUAUUUAACCUUUUACUGCAUUGUGCUAACUCAGGGUCACAAAGAGUGUUUCUACUUUGAAACAAAAGUAUACACCACAGACAUGGUUAUGGGCUUAAAGAAAUUAAGACAGCCGUACCAUGUGAGGUAUAGAGAUGAAAUGUAUUCCAUUUUGAGUUUGCAUCCUAAUAUUACACUUUAUACAGUGGGGCAAAAAAGUAUUUAGUCAGCCACCAAUUGUGCAAGUUCUCCCACUCAAAAAGAUGAGGCCAGUAAUUUUCA